This 97-nucleotide transfer RNA is filed under the name Vibrio parahaemolyticus. Its description in RNAcentral is "tRNA-Ser". It matches the Rfam family "tRNA". Rfam says of the family: Transfer RNA (tRNA) molecules are approximately 80 nucleotides in length. Their secondary structure includes four short double-helical elements and three loops (D, anti-codon, and T loops). Lineage: Bacteria; Pseudomonadati; Pseudomonadota; Gammaproteobacteria; Vibrionales; Vibrionaceae. The record is from RNAcentral.
GGAGAGAUGGCUGAGUGGUUGUGGUUGAAAGCACCGGUCUUGAAAACCGGCAUACGUUAAUAGCGUAUCUAGGGUUCAAAUCCCUAUCUCUCCGCCA